RNAcentral lists this ribosomal RNA (252 nucleotides) under uncultured bacterium. RNAcentral's name for it is "partial 16S ribosomal RNA". It matches the Rfam family "Bacterial small subunit ribosomal RNA", at positions 524 to 776 of the family's 1533-position model. The record is from RNAcentral.
GACGAACCGUGCGAACGUUGUUCGGAAUCACUGGGCUUAAAGGGCGCGUAGGCGGACGACCAAGUCGGGGGUGAAAUCUUUCGGCUCAACCGGAAAAUAGCCUUCGAUACUGGCCGUCUAGAGGGAGGUAGGGGCGUGUGGAACUUCCGGUGGAGCGGUGAAAUGCGUUGAUAUCGGAAGGAACUCCGGUGGCGAAAGCGACACGCUGGAUCUCUUCUGACGCUGAGGCGCGAAAGCCAGGGAGCGAACGGG